AUACGAAGGGUGCAAGCGUUACUCGGAAUUACUGGGCGUAAAGCGUGCGUAGGUGGUUGUUUAAGUCUGACGUGAAAGCCCUGGGCUCAACCUGGGAAUGGCGAUGGAAACUGGGCGACUAGAGUGUGGCGGAGGGUAGAGGAAUUCCUGGUGUAGCAGUGCAAUGCGUAGAGAUCAGGAGGAACAUCCGUGGCGAAGGCGACUGCCUGGGCCAACACUGACACUGAGGCACGAAAGCGUGGGGAGCAAACAGGAUUAGAUACCCUGGUAGUCCACGCCCUAAACGAUGCGAACUGGAUGUUGGGUGCAAUUUGGCACGCAGUAUCGAAGCUAACGCGUUAAGUUCGCCGCCUGGGGAGUACGGUCGCAAGACUGAAACUCAAAGGAAUUGACGGGG
This 397-nucleotide ribosomal RNA is filed under the name uncultured bacterium. Its description in RNAcentral is "partial 16S ribosomal RNA". It matches the Rfam family "Bacterial small subunit ribosomal RNA", at positions 523 to 918 of the family's 1533-position model. The record is from RNAcentral.